This 253-nucleotide ribosomal RNA is filed under the name uncultured prokaryote. Its description in RNAcentral is "partial 16S ribosomal RNA". It matches the Rfam family "Bacterial small subunit ribosomal RNA", at positions 524 to 776 of the family's 1533-position model. The record is from RNAcentral.
UACGUAGGGUGCGAGCGUUGUCCGGAAUUAUUGGGCGUAAAGGGCUCGUAGGCGGUUUGUCGCGUCGGGAGUGAAAACACCGGGCUUAACUCGGUGCUUGCUUCCGAUACGGGCAGACUAGAGGCAUGCAGGGGAGAACGGAAUUCCUGGUGUAGCGGUGAAAUGCGUAGAUAUCAGGAGGAACACCGGUGGCGAAGGCGGCUUCCUGGACAAAAACUGACGCUGAGGCGCGAAAGCUAGGGGAGCAAACAGG